Molecule: long non-coding RNA, 475 nt
Filed under: Phoenix dactylifera (date palm)
Lineage: Eukaryota; Viridiplantae; Streptophyta; Magnoliopsida; Arecales; Arecaceae
Description: long non-coding RNA (PDAC_LNC011800)
Source: RNAcentral
GGACAAGCUUAAUUUGACUUGGAAAACGAUAAUGAAUCAAAGAAUAGAAGCUUACCUUAGUUUUAGAUUGUGGCUCUUAAUAGCUAGCUGGUGUCCGAGCUCGCUCCUCAGGUUCGAAAUGGAAUCAGCAUCAACAGCCUAACAUAGGAAAAGCCAGCAAGGAAAAAUUAUAAUCAUUCUAAUUUCCAAAGUACUGAAUCAGCAACUUGUAUGUACAUAUCUGAUUGCAUAUACAAAAAUGUGCAAUCUACAUAAGAGCAAGUUCAAGCAUUCAACCAAUAAGUCAACCGAACAAAAACUAGCCAAAAGCUAGCUAUAAUGCAUAACUGACAGACAUAUCCAUUGCAGUUCAGACUCUGAAGGCUUCUAUACAGUUCAAAGAAAGUGAAAAUACAAUAAAUAAAAAUGGAUAAAUGCCAAAUUAAAUCCUCAAAGUUUGGACACUUCAACAUAAAAGUUGGCAAUCUUACCCUGA